Molecule: unclassified non-coding RNA, 286 nt
Filed under: plant metagenome
Description: partial contains small subunit ribosomal RNA and internal transcribed spacer 1
Rfam family: Eukaryotic small subunit ribosomal RNA (bases 1-46)
Source: RNAcentral
AAGUCGUAACAAGGUUUCCGUAGGUGAACCUGCGGAAGGAUCAUUAUUGAAUAAACCUGAUGUGGUUGUAGCUGGCCCUUUCGAGGGUAUGUGCACACCCGUCAUCUUUAUCUUUCCCACUUGUGCACCUUUUGUAGACCUGGAUGUAACACUUUUCCCGGGCAACUCGGUCGGGAGGAAUGCUGUCAGCUUUCCUUGAAUGUCCAGGCCUAUGUUUCUACAUAACCCUAAGCCAAAUGAUGAACAGAAUGUAUUAUUGGGCCUUGUGCCUAUAAACUAUAUACAA